RNAcentral lists this ribosomal RNA (483 nucleotides) under uncultured bacterium. RNAcentral describes it as "partial 16S ribosomal RNA". It matches the Rfam family "Bacterial small subunit ribosomal RNA", at positions 30 to 507 of the family's 1533-position model. The record is from RNAcentral.
UUGCACGCUGGCGGCAGGCCUAACACAUGCAAGUCGAGCGGAUGAAGGGAGCUUGCUCCUGGAUUCAGCGGCGGACGGGUGAGUAAUGCCUAGGAAUCUGCCUGGUAGUGGGGGAUAACGUCCGGAAACGGGCGCUAAUACCGCAUACGUCCUGAGGGAGAAAGUGGGGGAUCUUCGGACCUCACGCUAUCAGAUGAGCCUAGGUCGGAUUAGCUAGUUGGUGGGGUAAAGGCCUACCAAGGCGACGAUCCGUAACUGGUCUGAGAGGAUGAUCAGUCACACUGGAACUGAGACACGGUCCAGACUCCUACGGGAGGCAGCAGUGGGGAAUAUGGGACAAUGGGCGAAAGCCUGAUCCAGCCAUGCCGCGUGUGUGAAGAAGGUCUUCGGAUUGUAAAGCACUUUAAGUUGGGAGGAAGGGCAGUAAGUUAAUACCUUGCUGUUUUGACGUUACCAACAGAAUAAGCACCGGCUAACUUCGUG